CCUACGGGUGGCAGCAGUGGGGAAUUUUCCGCAAUGGGCGAAAGCCUGACGGAGCAACGCCGCGUGAUCGAAUGAAGGCCUUCGGGUUGUAAAGAUCUGUUGACAGGGACGAAUAAGCAAUGCGAAUAGUUUUUUGUAUGACGGUACCUGUUUAGAAAGCUCCGGCUAACUACGUGCCAGCAGCCGCGGUAGUACGUAGGGAGCAAGCGUUGUCCGGAAUUACUGGGCGUAAGGGGGGCGUAGGUGGGCGCUUAAGCCAGGUGUGAAAGCCCCGGGCUCAACCUGGGGACUGCACUUGAAACUGGGUGGCUUGAGGGCAGGAGAGGAAAGUGGAAUUCCUGGUGUAGCGGUGAAAUGCGUAGAUAUUAGGAGGAACACC
RNAcentral lists this ribosomal RNA (379 nucleotides) under uncultured bacterium. RNAcentral's name for it is "partial 16S ribosomal RNA". It matches the Rfam family "Bacterial small subunit ribosomal RNA", at positions 338 to 710 of the family's 1533-position model. The record is from RNAcentral.